AAAUUGAAGAGUUUGAUCAUGGCUCAGAUUGAACGCUGGCGGCAGGCCUAACACAUGCAAGUCGAGCGGUAGCACAGAGAGCUUGCUCUCGGGUGACGAGCGGCGGACGGGUGAGUAAUGUCUGGGAAACUGCCUGGUGGAGGGGGAUAACUACUGGAAACGGUAGCUAAUACCGCAUAAUGUCGCAAGACCAAAGUGGGGGACCUUCGGGCCUCAUGCCAUCAGAUGUGCCCAGAUGGGAUUAGCUAGUAGGUGGGGUAACGGCUCACCUAGGCGACGAUCCCUAGCUGGUCUGAGAGGAUGACCAGCCACACUGGAACUGAGACACGGUCCAGACUCCUACGGGAGGCAGCAGUGGGGAAUAUUGCACAAUGGGCGCAAGCCUGAUGCAGCCAUGCCGCGUGUGUGAAGAAGGCCUUCGGGUUGUAAAGCACUUUCGGCGGGGAGGAAGGCGGUGAGGUUAAUAACCUCA
This 472-nucleotide ribosomal RNA is filed under the name Klebsiella pneumoniae. Its description in RNAcentral is "bacterial SSU rRNA". It matches the Rfam family "Bacterial small subunit ribosomal RNA", at positions 1 to 470 of the family's 1533-position model. Lineage: Bacteria; Pseudomonadati; Pseudomonadota; Gammaproteobacteria; Enterobacterales; Enterobacteriaceae. The record is from RNAcentral.